Long non-coding RNA from Ctenopharyngodon idella (grass carp), 6253 nucleotides. RefSeq lists it as uncharacterized. Lineage: Eukaryota; Metazoa; Chordata; Actinopteri; Cypriniformes; Xenocyprididae. The record is from RefSeq and is a predicted model, not a curated record. The transcript has 3 exons.
AAUGCAAUGAUGUGGAAGUUUCAAAUUUCAUGUAUUAUUCAAUUAUUAUUUUAAGGGAAAAAUAAGUUGAUUUUAAAUUUCAUGGCAUCAACACAUCUCAAAAAAGUUGGGACAAGGCCAUGUUUACCACUGUGUGGCAUCCCCUCUUCUUUUUAUAACAGUCUGCAAACGUCUGGGGACUGAGGAGACAAGUUGCUCAAGUUUAGGAAUAGGAAUGUUGUCCCAUUCUUGUCUAAUACAGGCUUCUAGUUGCUCAACUGUCUUAGGUCUUCUUUGUCGCAUCUUCCUCUUUAUGAUGAAAGAUCUGGACUGCAGACUGGCCAUUUCAGUACCCGGAUCCUUCUUCUACGCAGCCAUGAUGUUGUAAUUGAUGCAGUAUGUGGUCUGGCAUUGUCAUGUUGGAAAAUGCAAGGUCUUCCCUGAAAGAGACAACAUCUGGAUGGGAGCAUAUGUUGUUCUAGAACUUGGAUAUACCUUUCAGCAUUGAUGGUGCCUUUCCAGAUGUGUAAGCUGCCCAUGCCACACACACUCAUGCAACCCGAAGAUGCAGGCUUCUGAACUGAGCGCUGAUAACAACUUGGGUUGUCCUUGUCCUCUUUAGUCCGGAUGACAUGGCGUCCCAGUUUUCCAAAAAGAACUUUAAAUUUUGAUUUGUCUGACCACAGAACAGUUUUCCACUUUGCCACAGUCCAUUUUAAAUGAGCCUUGGCCCAGAGAAAACGCCUACGCUUCUGGAUCAUGUUUAGAUAUGGCUUCUUUUUUGACCUAUAGAGUUUUAGCCGGCAACGGCGAAUGGCACGGUGGAUUGUGUUCACCGACAAUGUUUUCUGGAAGUAUUCCUGAGCCCAUGUUGUGAUUUCCAUUACAGUAGCAUUCCUGUAUGUGAUGCAGUGCCGUCUAAGGGCCCGAAGAUCACGGGCAUCCAGUAUGGUUUUCCGGCCUUGAUCCUUACGCACAGAGAUUGUUCCAGAUUCUCUGAAUCUUUGGAUGAUAUUAUGCACUGUAGAUGAUGAUAACUUCAAACUCUUUGCAGUUUUUCUCUGAGAAACUCCUUUCUGAUAUUGCUCCACUAUUUUUGUGUAUAUUUUGUGUAUAUUUAUGUGUAGCUCUCAUGAAAUCCAAAAUGAGCCAAUAUUUGACAUUUCAAAAUGUCUCACUUUCAACAUUUGAUGUUAUCUAUAUUCUAUUGUGAGUAAAAUAUAAGUUUAUGAGAUUUGUAAAUUAUUGCAUUCCUUUUUUAUUCACAAUUUGUACAGUGUCCCAACUUUUUUGGAAUCGGGUUUGUACAAACAUCACAUUUGGCGACGAGGAUGUCGAUUACAGUUCCUUUACCGGCUCCAUUCCUGCCAUGCCCUGGUGAGCCUUCACUUACUUUUACUGUCUGGCACAAAAUGUUUGAAAAUUACCCUCUUGCAAUCGAUGCUACUCAUGAUGCACGGCCGGAGGAAAGAAAGCGGGCUGUUCUUCUACAUGCUUUGGGUACAGAAGGACAAAGACUGUUUUAUACCUUACCAGACACAGGCAAUACUUAUACUAUGGCUGUCGCUGCACUGAAAAGAUCAUUCCUGCAGUUAAUGUUGUUGCCGAGAGACACAAAUUUAGGCAAAGGGCACAGCGGACUGAUGAAACUGUUAAUCAGUUCCUGGCUGCUUUACGGGAGCUUUCGGCUGCAUGGAGACAUGGAAAAACAAAUGCUACCUGAUCAGCUCGCGGAGCGAGCAGCUAAUUCAUGCAUUCGGGACAGACUUUUGCUUGAACCUGACCUCACUCUGAAUAAAGCUGUCUCGAUAGCAGUUCAAAUGGAGACUGCAUUGAAGAACUCAGAGAUUCUUUCAGAUACUUCACAAGUACAGGCCAUACAGAGUCACCGGAAUGCAAAGCAAUGGGACAAUGGGAAGUCAAGUCAAGUCACCUUUAUUUAUAUAGUGCUUUUUACAAUACAAAUUGUGUCAAAGCAGCUUUACAGUGAUAACUGGUAAAUAAUUUUGGCUGCACAGCAGCUCUUAAAGAAAAUGCCGUCAUUGUCCAGCUUAAGUAAAAUCAGUAUUGAUUCAUUUGGUUGUAAAAAUCAAUAAUUAGUUCAUUUAUCUAUAUAUCAGCACUGGAGAAAACAGUGAUGUCAUCGUCCAGCUCAGUUCUGUUGGCAUACAAUGGUGUCAAUGCAGGCAGGUCAAAACAUUGUUGAAUAUCAAGUGUCCCCAACUAAGCAAGCCAGAAAGACAUCACCUUCCUGUUCAUCAGAUCGCCCAGUCACCAAUGGCAUUCAUGUUAUCAUUGCAGAUCCAACAACCAUCUGGCUAACAAACCACCUCCAGCGAUCAAAGCAGUAUGCAAUUCCUGUGGAAAAAUUGAGCACUUUGCCAAAGUUUGCCGCUCAUCACAGAAACAGGUGUGUGAGAUUGUUAUACCAGAGCUCACUGUAUUAUACAUGAAUGAUCCUAAGACUAUGACAGACAAAAUUCUCUGUUCAGUGCAAAUUAAAACAAAUGAUGGACAUUGUUAGCCAGUGGAGUUAAUUGUGAAAGAAGGUUGAAAGAAAAGUGAAAGAAGGUUGUUCUGGUUCAGCAAAAAUUGAGAAGACUGCCAUUGGCAGUUAGACAAGCAGUUUCUGAGGAACUGAAAAACCUGUUGGAGCAUGACAUAAUUGAAUAAGUUGAUGCUUCUCCAUGGGUCUUCCCAAUUGUAGUGACACAAAAAAGGAGGUGAAAUUUGCAUGUGCUUUGAUUUAAGGGAGCCUAAUAAGGCUAUAGUUGUAGAUAGACCCCUUGCCCCAUAUAGAGGAAUGUUGGCAGAACUGCAAGGGGCGACAGUGUUCUCGACCAUAGACCUGGCCUCAGCAAAUCAUCAGGUUCUAUUGCACCUUGAAAGUCGAGAUUUAACAGCAUUUAUUACCCAGGACAGGUUGUUCCAUUAUAAACUUGUCCCAUAUGGACUGCCUUCGGCUGCGCCUGCUUUCCAGAAGAUGAUGAUGACUAUAUUGCACGGAUUGCCAGGUGUUCAAGCCUCCCCGGAUGACCUAAUUGUUUAUGGAGACACAGAGGGCAUCCAUGACACUCGCUUAAAGGGAUAGUUCACCCAAAAACGGCUCGUGACGACACAUUGAUGUCCUAAGACAUGAAAUGAUCGUUUUGUGAGAGAAACCGAACAGUAUUUAUAUCAUUUUUCACCUCUAAAACACCACUAUGUCCAACUGCCUUGAGGUCUGAAUGCGUUCUGAUGACAGAAGUGAUGUCUCGCGCUUAUACUUCAAUGAGUGCGAGACAUCACUUCUGUUGUCAGAGUGCGACGCUUGUGAUUACGGUGUGGGAGGAGUUCUUUCUCAGCUACACACUGAUGGUGGCCUUUGCCUCGCAAACUCUUUCGCCAGCCAAAAGAAAGUACUCGACUGUGGAGAGGGAAGCACUGACUUGUGUGUGAAGUAUUGAAAAAUGGAGGACGUAUCUCUGAGGUUGGCAUUUCGUUCUGCGCACUGACCACCAAGCCCUUACAACGCUUCUUACAUCCAAGGGCACACUGAGAGCUGGCAUGCGAAUCGCUAGGUGGUCAGCCCAUCUGUUAUGUUUUUCCUAUGAGGUUGCAUUCUGCACUGGGAGAUACAACACAACAGCAGACUGCCUCUCUUGUCUCCCCUUACCUUACCUCCCCUUUCGAUACGGUUCACUUGCAUUAUGGGGAAAACUCCUGUUUUCUCAGAAUCCUGAACCGAUUGGUUCACAUCUGUGCAAAUCCACAGACAAAUAGCCUUUCAUCUCCCCAAAAGGGGCGAGGUUGCCUGCCUAUAUCAGUCACACUGGAUCACUAUCAGAUUAGAAUCUUUCUCCUUCAGCGCGAAUAUCGUAAAAGAGCAAAUUUAAAAGCAAAUUUCAUCAUGAAUGCAUCUCAUGCAGGGCUUCUUUGCCCAUGCCUGACGAGCAUACUGAGUGCGUUUCAUGCCUGGGUUCAUGUCAUGCCCGCUGAGGCGACACUUAGGGUGUACUCACACUAGGCUCUCUGAACCGUGCCCGAGCAAAUUUGACCCUCAAAGCCCGGUUCAUUUGACAAGUGUGAUCGCUCCGUACCAUGCCCGGGCAUGGUUCGUUUAGCCGUCCCUGGCCACUUGGAAGAGGUGGGCCAAAGCACGGUUCAGUUGGGCUCAGACGCAGUAUGCAUGCAGUGUGAGAACAGCUGCUACUUUUGUGUGCGCUACUGUCAUCAUUAUGACGGCAAACAUCUUUAUUACUACUUGGAUAGUACACUUUUCAAUUGAUGUAAUUAAUUUGAGUGUAUUUUGGUUUAUAACGGGUCUGGUUCUCAUCUUAUUGAUGAACAGGAAUUGUAGUAUGUGAGUAAAGCUGCAAAUUCCUCCAUUAACUUCAGCUGCCUUCGUAAUAAUCCUCUGAUAUGUGCAAGUGAAAAUUGCUGCGUGGCAUAAAUGAUAAAUCUAUUAGGCAGCUGUUUAAGGAGCUGCGCAGCACCACUUGGCCCUGUGUGCCAUGAAAGCCAUGGCCAGCCUAGUGGUGCCUGUUUUGCUCCACAGUGGAUGGCUUUGCAGUGCGCUAUAUGGCGACACAGAAGUCAUCACAGGCUAUGCGCCACUUCCUGCUGAAAAGAUCCAUCUCGUCCACAGCCUCCAGUCACUCCAGAAUGGCCCUGCCAACUCAGCAGUGAAUGGCCAGGCCAACCUCUGCGCCCAUUCAGCCCCAACUGUAAGCGGACCCUGAAGUCAAGCCACGCCUCUGCCCGGCCAAACGCUACAGGCCAUCCCCGGAGUGUCGAGCUGGAUAUUGGGGAUAAUAGAAUGAGGCUACUCGCUCCAAUAUCGCUUGCAGACCACCACGCUUCAGGGGCUGAUUCACUCCUCAGUCUCAGAUGACAGUUCUCAUGACCUACGGGCCGAAGUUCAGUCUCUUCUAUAAAAAAAGGCACCGUGGAGAGAAUUCCCACGGAAAGCAGCGAGUCGGGCUUUUACAGCCGCUAGGAGUGAGGGCCCACUCCACUAGAGCAUCCCCACGACCCUAUAAAGGACAAGCGGUUUAGAGAAUGAAUGGAUGGAUGCAUGGUUCAUGGACCAUGGGAAUUUUGAACAACAAAAGCAGACAAUGAAGGAGAAGAGAAGUAGAGACGAUGGAGCUGAAAAUGCUGGAACAGACGAUGGAUCAGAGGAUGGGGCAAUUGUGUGAGAAACCAAUGGAAUAUCUCAACAGAAGACUGAGGGAGUCUAUGCUUGUGUAUUGACAAAACCAGACAGCGUGUUAUGAGUGUGUCCUCCUGGGUAUAAAUAUUGUCAUUGAUGAUAGAGUUAAAUUAAGUCAGCUUAACAAAGCAGCUUCACAAUAAUACACAGAAAAGUAACAAAAUGAAUAAUGCAGAUUUCAUCAAAUAUGAAAAGUUAAAAUUUUGCUGUAAAGACAAUAGUGUAUUCAGCUCAAAUGUGUUUAGUAAGGAUUAAGUUCAGUUCAAUAACUGUGUAAAUUUUAUUUCGUUAUAAAAUAAGCGGCUCUUCUGAAGACAAUAGUGUUUAUUUAGCUCAAUUACCAGUGCUUUUGUUCUCAUAUGAUAGUGUCAGCGCAAUUAAAUCAAUAAUAUUGUUGAAUAUUAAGUUUCCCCAACUGUCCAGAGGUGACAGCGGCAAGAACCCAAACUCCAUCUGUGACAAAUGAAUAAUAAAAAGAAAAUCUUGGGAGAAACCAGGCUCAGUCAGGGGGCCAGUUCUCCUCUGGCAUAGCCUAUAUCAGGGGUGUCCAAACUUGGUCCUGGAGGGCCACUGUCCUGCAGAGUUUAGCUCCAGCUUGCCUCAACACACCUGCCUGGAAGAUUCUAUGCCUAGUAAGACCUUGAUUAGCUGGUUCAGGUGUGUUUAAUUGGUGUUGGAGCUAAACUCUGCUGGACAGUGGCCCUCCAGGAGCAGGAUUGGAAACCCCUGGCCUAUAUAUAGUGUGAAUUCACUGGUGUCUGGGACAAACUGAAGAUCCAAUGUAAUCGGUUUGAUUUAUUAUAAAAAUGUUUCCCCUUACAUCCAUGUAUUCCGGUAUUACAAGUGUUUGUUAUUGUUCCUCUGACUUCUUCUUUAUCCUUAAUUAUGAUUUACUCACUGCUGUCUCUGUGUGUCAUCUGCCAAUUGCUAUCAUCACUUUGCUAUCACCACUGUUAUUGUCAUUAUCUGCCUUUGAUCCACUACUCAUCUGUUCUACUCUGCCUCAACAAACAUCUCAGCAACUGAGUUCUGCAAUGCAUCUGUGUUUGUGCAUCUACAGUCCUGUAGAGUUUAGUUUUA